CAUGCGCUCGCUACCAUGCAAGUCGAACGGAGAACAUUUAUCAUUACAUGUUCUUACUGGCGGACGGGUGAGUAACGCGUGAGGAACCUACCUUUCGGAGGGGAAUAACACAUCCAAAGAUGUGCUAAUACCGCAUAACGUCAUUGGGUGGCAUCAUCCGAUGACCAAAGGAGCAAUCUGCCGAAAGAUGGCCUCGCGUCCGAUUAAAUAGUUGGUGAGGUAACGGCCCACCAAGUCUGCGAUCGGUAGCCGGACUGAGAGGUUGAACGGCCACGUUGGGACUGAGACACGGCCCAUACUCCUACGGGAGGCAGCGGUGGGGGAUAUUAGUCGAUGGAGGAAACUCUGAACUAGCGACGCCGCGUGAGGGAAGAAGGUCUUCGGAUUGUAAACCUCUGUCUUCGGGGACGAUAAUGACGGUACCCGAGGAGGAAGCCCCGGCUAACUACGUGCCAGCAGCCGCGGUAAUACGUAGGGGGCAAGCGUUAUCCGGAUUUAUUGGGUGUAAAGGGUGCGUAUGCGGGAAAGCAAGUUGAAUGUGAAAUACCGGGGCUCAACUCCGGGGCUGCGUUCAAAACUGUUUUUCUUGAGUACAGCAGAGGCAAGCGGAAUUCCCAGUGUAGCGGUAAUAUGCGUAGAUAUUGGGAGGAACACCGGUGGCGAAGGCGGCUUGCUGGGCUGCAACUGACGCUGAAGCACGAAAGUGUGGGGAGCAAACAGGAUUAGAUACCCUGGUAGUCCACACUGUAAACGAUGAUUACUAGGUGUGGGGAGAUUGACCCUCUCCGUGCCGCAGUUAACACAAUAAGUAAUCCACCUG
RNAcentral lists this ribosomal RNA (820 nucleotides) under uncultured Acetanaerobacterium sp. Its description in RNAcentral is "bacterial SSU rRNA". It matches the Rfam family "Bacterial small subunit ribosomal RNA", at positions 43 to 875 of the family's 1533-position model. Lineage: Bacteria; Bacillati; Bacillota; Clostridia; Eubacteriales; Oscillospiraceae. The record is from RNAcentral.